This is a small nuclear RNA of 212 nucleotides. Its record names the gene U2. It matches the Rfam family "U2 spliceosomal RNA". Rfam says of the family: U2 is a small nuclear RNA (snRNA) component of the spliceosome (involved in pre-mRNA splicing). Complementary binding between U2 snRNA (in an area lying towards the 5' end but 3' to hairpin I) and the branchpoint sequence (BPS) of the intron results the bulging out of an unpaired adenosine, on the BPS, which initiates a nucleophilic attack at the intronic 5' splice site, thus starting the first of two transesterification reactions that mediate splicing. The record is from Ensembl.
AUACUUUUUUGUAUUGUAUGAAAUUUUCAAUAAAGAGAAAAUAUCUGGAAAAAAAAAAAUCUGUUCUUAUCAGUUUAAUAUCUGAUACGUCCCCCAGCGGGGGACUACAUAUUAAGCGGAUUUUUAGAACAGGGAGUCGGCAAAGGAGCUUGCUCCAUCCGCUCCACGCAUCGACCCAGUAUUGCAGUGCCUCUGGGAGCGGUGCACUUUCU